AGGGUGAUAGCUCAGUGGCAGAGUGCAUGCUUAGCAUGCACAAGGCCCUGGGUUCAAUCCCCAGUACCUCUA
Molecule: transfer RNA, 72 nt
Filed under: Camelus bactrianus (Bactrian camel)
Lineage: Eukaryota; Metazoa; Chordata; Mammalia; Artiodactyla; Camelidae
Also listed under: 3 other names
Rfam family: tRNA
About the family: Transfer RNA (tRNA) molecules are approximately 80 nucleotides in length. Their secondary structure includes four short double-helical elements and three loops (D, anti-codon, and T loops).
Source: Rfam by way of RNAcentral